CUGGUUGAUUCUGCCAGUAGUCAUAUGCUUGUCUCAAAGAUUAAGCCAUGCAUGUCUAAGUCUAAACAACUUUAUGAACGGCUCAUUAGAUCAGCAAUAAUUUAUUUGAUGGUUCCUUACUACUUGGAUAACUGUAGUAAUUCUAGAGCUAAUACAUGCAAAGUCCCGACUCUCAUUAGAUAAAAACCAAUGCGGGCUUCGGUCCGGAUUUGUGUUGAAUCAUAGUAACUUAUCGGAUGGCAUAGCUUUACGCUGGCCACAGAUCAUUCAAAUUUCUGCCCUAUCAGCUUUAGACAUAGUGGACACCGUGGCGUUAACGGGUAACGGAGAAUUAGGGUUCGAUUCCGGAGAGGGAGCCUGAGAAACGGCUACCACAUCCAAGGAAGGCAGCAGGCGCGCAAAUUACCCAAUUCCUGACACAGGGAGGUAGUGACAAAAAAUAACAAUACCUGGCCUUUUUAGGUCGGGUAAUUCCCUUAACGAGGAUCAAUUGGAGGGCACUGGUGCCAGCAGCCGCGGUAAU
RNAcentral lists this ribosomal RNA (523 nucleotides) under uncultured eukaryote. Its description in RNAcentral is "SSU rRNA". It matches the Rfam family "Eukaryotic small subunit ribosomal RNA", at positions 4 to 583 of the family's 1831-position model. The record is from RNAcentral.